AGUGAACGCUGGCGGUAGGCCUAACACAUGCAAGUCGAACGGCAGCACAGUAGAGCUUGCUCUUACGGGUGGCGAGUGGCGGACGGGUGAGGAAUACAUCGGAAUCUACUUUUUCGUGGGGGAUAACGUAGGGAAACUUACGCUAAUACCGCAUACGACCUACGGGUGAAAGCAGGGGAUCUUCGGACCUUGCGCGAUUGAAUGAGCCGAUGUCGGAUUAGCUAGUUGGCGGGGUAAAGGCCCACCAAGGCGACGAUCCGUAGCUGGUCUGAGAGGAUGAUCAGCCACACUGGAACUGAGACACGGUCCAGAGUCCUACGGUGUCACGCAGUGGGUGAGAUUGGACAAUGGGCGCAAGCCUGAUCCAGCCAUACCGCGUGGGUGAAGAAGGGCUUCGGGUUGUAAAGCCCUUUUGUUGGGAAAGAAAAGCAGCAGGUUAAUACCCCGCUGUUCUGACGGUACCCAAAGAAUAAGCACCGGCUAACUUCGUG
This 491-nucleotide ribosomal RNA is filed under the name uncultured bacterium. RNAcentral describes it as "partial 16S ribosomal RNA". It matches the Rfam family "Bacterial small subunit ribosomal RNA", at positions 29 to 507 of the family's 1533-position model. The record is from RNAcentral.